UACAGAGGGUGCAAGCGUUGUUCGGAAUUACUGGGCGUAAAGCGUGUGUAGGCUGCUACAUAAGUCGGAUGUGAAAGCCCCGGGCUCAACCCGGGAAGUGCACUCGAUACUGCGUAGCUUGAGUCUCGGAGAGGUUGGUGGAAUUCUCGGUGUAGAGGUGAAAUUCGUAGAUAUCGAGAGGAACACCGGUGGCGAAGGCGGCCAACUGGACGAAGACUGACGCUGAGACACGAAAGCGUGGGGAGCAAACAGG
RNAcentral lists this ribosomal RNA (253 nucleotides) under uncultured bacterium. RNAcentral's name for it is "partial 16S ribosomal RNA". It matches the Rfam family "Bacterial small subunit ribosomal RNA", at positions 524 to 776 of the family's 1533-position model. The record is from RNAcentral.